AAGUGAGGGCACUCUAGCUGUGACAUCUGUCACCCCAUUGAUCUGCAGGGUUUACUCAGCUGCCCUGGCUGGCUAGUGGCUAGCGCCUCCUUCCUCCUUUCCCACUGCAGGCUGUGUGCUCUGUGGAAGAGGGCAGCCUUUCCUGAGAGCUGAGACUGCUUCUCAGUCAGGGUAUACAAAGAGCUGCUGCCCUGCUAGAACCUCCGGAAACACUACAGGACUCUUCCUCCUCAGCACCUUCUCUCCCUCCAGCAUUUUCUCUCAUUAAAAAGAAAGAGUAAGGGAGAGAAAAUGAGACAGAGUAGGUCAACUGCGAAUAGAUUAUGUACUAUACAAUCAGU
Unclassified non-coding RNA from Tupaia belangeri (northern tree shrew), 341 nucleotides. Its record names the gene 7SK. It matches the Rfam family "7SK RNA". Rfam says of the family: 7SK was discovered as an abundant small nuclear RNA in the mid-70s but a possible function has only recently been suggested. The record is from Ensembl. NCBI's taxonomy places the organism in Eukaryota, Metazoa, Chordata, Mammalia, Scandentia, Tupaiidae.